AACGCGAAGAACCUUACCUACCCUUGACAUGUACGGAAGCCCGAUGAGAGUUGGGUGUGCCCGAAAGGGAGCCGUAACACAGGUGCUGCAUGGCUGUCGUCAGCUCGUGUCGUGAGAUGUUGGGUUAAGUCCCGCAACGAGCGCAACCCUUGUCAUUAAUUGCCAUCAUUUGGUUGGGCACUUUAAUGAGACUGCCGGUGACAAACCGGAGGAAGGUGGGGAUGACGUCAAGUCCUCAUGGCCCUUAUGGGUAGGGCUUCACACGUAAUACAAUGGCCGGUACAGAGGGCUGCCAACCCGCGAGGGGGAGCUAAUCUCAGAAAGCCGGUCGUAGUCCGGAUUGUUCUCUGCAACUCGAGAGCAUGAAGUCGGAAUCGCUAGUAAUCGCGGAUCAGCAUGUCGCGGUGAAUACGUUCCCGGGCCUUGUA
Molecule: ribosomal RNA, 428 nt
Filed under: uncultured beta proteobacterium
Lineage: Bacteria; Pseudomonadati; Pseudomonadota; Betaproteobacteria
Description: bacterial SSU rRNA
Rfam family: Bacterial small subunit ribosomal RNA
Source: RNAcentral